UAGAGGCAGGGUUUCACUAUAUUACCCAGGCUGGUCUCAGAAUCCUGGGCUCCAGAGACUCAGUGCUGGGAUUACGGGCAUGAACCACCUUGCGUGGCCUGUUUGAAUAGCAAGGUGGUGGGGCUGAUCCAACUGGGAGGGACUGGCUGCUUCCUGCCCCCAGCUGCAGGGCCUCUGGGCUCCCUAAAAGGUAAGUGAGGCUACCUGCCCCUCCUCCUCACCGGCCCAUCAACAACAGAGUGUGCAAUGUUCCUCUGCCCACUCUACCCCCACAUGAGCCAAGAUCUCCCUGAUCAUUCAGAUCUCACAGGCUUGACCCUACUCUACAUAUUGAAAAGUUCCAGUCCUCCCCCCAACUGUAGGAAUUUCCUAGACCUUUUGGUCAGGCACACUGGCUCAUGACUGUAAUCCCAGGACUUUGGGCAGAUCACUUGAGGUCAGGAGUUGGAGACCAGCCUGGCCAACAUGGUGAAACCCUGACUCUACUAAAAAUACAAAAAUAAGCUGGGCAUGGCAGUGAGUGCAUGUAGUUCCAGCUACUGUGGAGGCUGAGACAGGAGAAUCACUUAAACCCAGGAGCUGAGGUCACAGGGAGUCAAGAUCGUACCAGUAUACCCGAGCUUGGGGAACAGAAUAAGAUUCUGUCUCAAAAAACAACAAUUUCCUACACCUUCCAGCUCCUGUCCUUGGCACCCGCACACACUGGCCCAUGCUGCUAAAGACCCAGGGGGCAGAUCAGACAUGACAUCAGACAUCUGUGUCUCCAAAAUAGGACAGCUUGUUUCUGUCCUGGCCUCACCCCCUACCUCCGCUGUCAUGCUGCCCUCUGUCCUCCUCCACCUCAUUAUGGGAUUUCCUAGAACAAGGACAGCCCUUCCCCGAGAGGCACCCUAAUGUUCUCCAUGGCAGAGCUCUUCCUGCAGACCUGUGAGCUCCCCCUCUGCAGACAAAAGCAGCAAGGCUCGGCUAGGCAUAGCGACUUGUCCCGUGUGUUCCCUCUAGGAACUAUUCAGUAGUGAUGAUGUUGGCACUGCUGGCUCAGGGGAAUGAGCCCCUGGACAUGGCCCAGGUGACCAGCUACCUGAUGGAGUAGAAGCUGCUGCAGCAGCUCCGAGAGCUGUCCAGGGCCAAUGUGCUGGCCAAGUUCUACCAGCUAAGAUGCAGCCUGCUGCAGGGUCUCUGGGAGUAUGAGUCCUGCCCCGGGCUGUGCUACCCUCCUCCCUGGGAGCCCCCUGCCCUGUGGGCACAGCAGCAGGGCCAUGCAGAGGCAGGUACUGUGGGGGCACAGGGAAGCCUGCAGAGGCUCAUGGCAUCACAGUGCCAGGCCCAGCUUAUUGGAAUUCCCAAGGUCCUAUGGGACUCGGGCUGAGGCAGCACAUCCUGCUUUUCUCCAGAUUAUAAGGCCUGGCCUAGCAGCAGUACAGCCAAGGGCGGUGCUGGGAUGACCAGCUCUGGGCUCCUGGGGAGCUUGCGUGUUGCUCAGGUGAGUCUGCUAACCUCCGUGGACUCAGCUUCCUCCACUGUCAAAUGCAAGUAACCAUGUGGCUCCCUCACAUGGGUAAGGGGCAUGUGCGGUUCUUAAUACAUGAGGGAGGCCCUCACGUCCAUGGGGGAGCCAUAGUACCCAGGCUUGGCAAGGAGCGGUUUAUCUGUGUGGGACUCACACGGAGGCCUACGGCUCCCUAGAAGCGUGGGUGUAGUCAGGAUUAAGCAGCACGCUGAUCUUGUAGAAAAUAGCCUGGUCUUCAAGUUCUAUGUGUGUGUGACCAUGGAAUUCUCUGUGCCCCUCAGUUCUGACAGCUGACCAGGGGGCUGGUAGUCCCUCCCUUGGGAUGCUGGCCCUGGCCAUCAGGUGUCUGGCUGUGCACGAUGGAUGGUGCUUUCCUGCCAUGGGCAUGAGCACCCCCAAUGCACAGCUCGGGGCAGCGCUGGCUGGACUGGUCAGACCUGCUCCUUCACAGGCCAUCUCUUCCCUAUUUGGAAGACAGCAGUUCUGCAGGACACUGCUGUCAUGUUUGAGGGAGCCGUUGGCCAUCCACUUAAACAGUCAGUGUUUCCCCCUCACCCCAGUAGUUUCCUUGAGAUUAAGUGGUUGACUUGUAUGAUUCUUUUUUUUGAGACUAGAUCUCACACUGUUGUCAUGGUUGGACAUGGUUGGAGUGCAGUGGUACGAUCUUGGCUCCCUGCACUCUUGACCUCCAGGGUUCAAGUGUCCUCCUACCUCAGCCCGGCAAAGUGCUGGGAUGGCUUAGCGCCACUGUACCUGGCCGAUGUGUGAAUUUCAAGUGCACGAUUCAGUAGCUUCUAGAUUAUUCAGAGUUGUGCAUGCCUCACCACAAUCGAUUUUAAAACAUUUUUAUCCUAAAAUGAAACCCUGCAGCUGCCAGCCUGCCUGCUCUGUCCAUGGCUAUGCCUGCUGUGGACAUCUGAUGUAAACAGAAGCAUGACUAUGUGGCCUCUGAGCCAGGCUUUAUUACUUAGCACAGCAAUUUUGUAGUGGGUCUGGGAACUCCAUUCCUUGUUAGGGCUGAAUUGGGCCAUAGCCCUUCAGCUCACGUCAUCCUGAAGCAGGUGAGGGAUCGCUGGGCCUCUGGCUGCUGCACCAGGGGAGGGGGACUCCUGGCCUCAGGGCAGACUAAGCCGGGGCUCUAGGCAUUGGGGUGUCCAGAAGGCAUUGGGCUCCCACUGCAGUGGGUGGAGCUGGCUCCACUCACCCUGCCUUUGGGGCUGAUUCUCCCCAGAUCAUGCCCUGGUGGCCCAGGCCCAGCAUGUGGUGACUUCUGACAGCCAGGUGUGGGACCUCAGUACCCAGUGUGGCAGCAUCUUGCUGGCCCAAGACUUUGCUCACAACACAUUCUCCCCGAUGCUGAGUCAGACAGACUCGGGGCUCAUGGCCCUGAUUGUGGAGCUGAACCACCUGACCUUCAUCUUCUACCCCAGGCUGCAGGCCUACAGGCUGUACAACUCCUCCCUGCCGGGGGAGAGCUGUCUAGACCUCCAGCUGCCUCUUGCCAUGAAAAGGAGGGACAUCCCCAGGAUUGAGCUGGCCAGUGAGGACAGGGUCUCCAUGUCCUGUGACGUGCCCACCGGCCUCUGCAGCCUGACUCUGGGCCUCUGGCACCACGGUGAGUCUGGGCCCCAGCAGGGUUGGCCCCACCACCAAGAGCCUCUUCGGGAUGCACCAUUCUCAGCUUCCAUUGUGACAGGUCCCCGGGGCUAUAGGCGGCCAUUGUGGUUGAGAUGAAAGCACCGAGGCCCAGGGCUUUCUGCCCACAUCCCUGGGAUAUGUGGCUCCAAGGUGGAGUUGGCCUUUCUGUGGUCCCUCUGCCAAGGACACAAAGGGCAGGCCUGGAUUCCGGCCACUCGGGCUGAGAACGUGGAGAGGGGAUGCGGGGACACACGCUGUCAUCAGUCCCUGCUUUCUCUCCCUCUUCUGAUGAGAGUUUGCAGCCAGAGCCCUGGGCUUCGGGAGUCCGGGAUGGAGGGAUUCUACCAAUACUCCGUGUGCCUCAGGCUUGUCUCUCGUACAGGUCCCCUGGGGGAGGAUCAUGGGCUUUCAGAACCACCUCAGCUUCCCUCCUCCCCACAGGCAUAUCGGCUGGCCUUCUGAGCACCACCGACAAUGAAGCAGGCAACGAUCUGAUGUUGCUGGACGGCUCUGUGGCCCACAUCCUGGAGGAGCUCAGCCUGGCCUGACAGUUGAGCAGGUGCGCCUGCCCUUCCGCCCUCUGGCUGAGGCUCUUCAGGGCUGCUCGCUGCAGAGUCCCAGGAGAGGCAGGUGGCCUGCUGGCUCUGCAGAGGUCUUUGCAGGCCCAGGGUUGGGGGGAGUCUCCUGCUGAGACCGAUGCAUGUGGGGGAGCCACAUGGUCCAGCGGGGAGCCUGAGUCUUGUGUCUGUCCUGCCAGGUGGAUGGUGACUGUAGGGCGACCGAUAAGACUCAGCAGGCCUGCCCAGGACAGAGCCCCGCCUGCCCGGCCUUCCAGGACCCCUACUCCAGCUUGAGGAACUGCUUCUGGGUGUUUAAGAUUUCAUCUAAGCCAGCACUAGGCUGCCAAAGACUUCAAACUCCUUCACCUUCUACUCUAAUUCCAGCUUCUUGACAAGGGCAAGAUUCUUGGCAGGGACAGAGUAACCAGCAUGGAACACCGGGAAACUCAGAGCCACACGUGCUUCAAAUGCAGGAAGAAGAGCUGUUUGUCAUUGCACUCAAAAUGCUUCUGAGGACAUGAAACUCUCCCACUGGUCUGGGUAAUUCUCCCCCUUCCUCCACAUCUCCACUGUAAACCAAGAGACAGCAUGGCCUGCGAGUCCCAGCCCUGCAGAGAGAGCUCUAUCGGCUUCUGUUCAUGCUCAAGGUAUUUAUUAACUUAUUCAACAGCCAUGUGGGAAGCCACCGCUUCAGAAUGCUGACUGUGUGCAGGGGGACACGAAGUCAGGUUCUCAGCUCCCUGGUCCUAGCUUUCCCUGCCUGACCCAGGGAUCUCCUGAGGCAGGAGCUUCUUUGAGGGGAACUGAUAGCUCUUCAGAAGCCUGAUAGAGAGCUGUUCUCUGGGGUAGACACACAGGGACUGAAGGGUUUCGAGGGCCUCUGUUUUGGUAGGGCACCUGUGAACUCAGGCUCCCAGGCUAGAGCAUUCAAAGUUGUUUUCUUUUUACUUUCUUUU
Molecule: long non-coding RNA, 4664 nt
Organism: Cebus imitator (Panamanian white-faced capuchin)
Lineage: Eukaryota; Metazoa; Chordata; Mammalia; Primates; Cebidae
Exons: 3
Source: RefSeq, a predicted model, not a curated record